This 128-nucleotide small nucleolar RNA is filed under the name Gouania willdenowi (blunt-snouted clingfish). RNAcentral's name for it is "Small nucleolar RNA ACA64 (ENSGWIG00000003302.1)". It matches the Rfam family "Small nucleolar RNA ACA64". The record is from Rfam by way of RNAcentral. Lineage: Eukaryota; Metazoa; Chordata; Actinopteri; Blenniiformes; Gobiesocidae.
UCAGUCUGAAAGUGACCUCAGGUGUGAUAAUGACCUGAGGUCAGAUACCUGAGCCCACAGCACAGAGGCACAUUAAGCUUAUCUCCUGCUGUGUGUCAGCAGCUGAUAAAACCCAUGUGCCCACACAC